RNAcentral lists this ribosomal RNA (646 nucleotides) under bacterium GD54LO75%. RNAcentral's name for it is "bacterial SSU rRNA". It matches the Rfam family "Bacterial small subunit ribosomal RNA", at positions 60 to 751 of the family's 1533-position model. The record is from RNAcentral.
AGUCGAACGGAUCCUUCGGGAUUAGUGGCAGACGGGUGAGUAACGCGUGGGAAGCUACCUUGUGGUAGGGGACAACAGUUUGAAAAGACUGCUAAUACCCUAUGAGCCCUAUGGGGGAAAGAUUUAUCGCCAUGAGAUGUGCCCGCGUUAGAUUAGCUAGUUGGUAAGGUAAUGGCUUACCAAGGCGACGAUCUAUAGCUGGUCUGAGAGGAUGNNNNNNNACACUGGGACUGAGACACGGCCCAGACUCCUACGGGAGGCAGCAGUGGGGAAUAUUGGACAAUGGGGGCAACCCUGAUCCAGCCAUGCCGCGUGUGUGAUGACGGCCUUAGGGUUGUAAAGCACUUUCAGCAGUGAAGAUAAUGACAUUAACUGCAGAAGAAGCCCCGGCUAACUUCGUGCCAGCAGCCGCGGUAAUACGAAGGGGGCUAGCGUUGUUCGGAAUCACUGGGCGUAAAGAGUACGUAGGCGGACUGAUAAGUUAGGGGUGAAAUCCCAAGGCUCAACCUUGGGAACUGCCUUUGAUACUGUCAGUCUUGAGAUCGAGAGAGGNGAGUGGAACUCCGAGUGUAGAGGUGAAAUUCGUAGAUAUUCGGAAGAACACCAGUGGCGAAGGCGGCUCACUGGCUCGAUACUGACGCUGAGG